GGGUUAGUAGGUUGGUCAUGCCUCUGGUAUGUACUGGUCUCACUGAUUCCUCCUUCCUGAUGAACCGUAAUGCCAUUAAUUUGGUGUUGCGGGGAAUUUGGACUGUUACUUUGAAAAAAUUAGAGUGUUUAAAGCAGGCAUUUUGCUUGAAUACAUUAGCAUGGAAUAAUAAAAUAGGACGGCAUGAUUCUAUUUUGUUGGUUUCUAAGAUUGACGUAAU
This 220-nucleotide ribosomal RNA is filed under the name Rhizophagus sp. (in: glomeromycetes). Its description in RNAcentral is "partial small subunit ribosomal RNA". The stretch from base 40 to 220 matches the Rfam family "Eukaryotic small subunit ribosomal RNA", at positions 686 to 866 of the family's 1831-position model. The record is from RNAcentral. Lineage: Eukaryota; Fungi; Glomeromycota; Glomeromycetes; Glomerales; Glomeraceae.